GAUGAAGAACGCAGCGAAAUGCGAUAAGUAAUGUGAAUUGCAGAAUUCAGUGAAUCAUCGAAUCUUUGAACGCACACUGCGCCCGCUAGUAUUCUAGCGGGCAUGCCUGUUCGAGCGUCAUUUCAACCAUCAAGCCCCAGGCUUGUGUUGGAGCCCUGCGACCGUCCUCAGCCUCCUAAAAUCAGUGGCGGGCUCGCUAUCACACCGAGUGCAGUAGUUUACUCUUCGCUCAGGACGUGUAGCGGGUUCCGGCCGUGAAACCCCCCAAUUUUCAAGGUUGACCUCGGAUCAGGUAGGAAUACCCGCUGAACUUAAGCAUAUCAAUAAGCGGAGGA
RNAcentral lists this unclassified non-coding RNA (335 nucleotides) under soil metagenome. RNAcentral describes it as "partial contains 5.8S ribosomal RNA, internal transcribed spacer 2, and large subunit ribosomal RNA". The stretch from base 1 to 120 matches the Rfam family "5.8S ribosomal RNA", at positions 35 to 154 of the family's 154-position model. The record is from RNAcentral.